AAGUUUGUCGUCGCUAACCCACUUUCAGUGAGGACCAAGGUUCGAGUUGUAAAGGAGACCACAUUUUUAGAGGCUUGCAUUGAGAA
Non-coding RNA from Camelina sativa (false flax), 86 nucleotides. The record is from RefSeq and is a predicted model, not a curated record. NCBI's taxonomy places the organism in Eukaryota, Viridiplantae, Streptophyta, Magnoliopsida, Brassicales, Brassicaceae.